GUAGNACCAAGAGAUCGGGAUAACACCUGGAAACAGAUGCUAAUACCGGAUAACAACAGAUGAUGCCUAUCAACUGUUUAAAAGAUGGUUCUGCUAUCACUCUUGGAUGGACCUGCGGUGCAUUAGCUAGUUGGUAGGGUAACGGCCUACCAAGGCGAUGAUGCAUAGCCGAGUUGAGAGACUGAUCGGCCACAUUGGGACUGAGACACGGCCCAAACUCCUACGGGAGGCAGCAGUG
RNAcentral lists this ribosomal RNA (238 nucleotides) under uncultured Lactobacillus sp. RNAcentral describes it as "partial 16S ribosomal RNA". It matches the Rfam family "Bacterial small subunit ribosomal RNA", at positions 121 to 356 of the family's 1533-position model. Lineage: Bacteria; Bacillati; Bacillota; Bacilli; Lactobacillales; Lactobacillaceae. The record is from RNAcentral.